GGUUAAGCGACUAAGCGUACACGGUGGAUGCCCUGGCAGUCAGAGGCGAUGAAGGACGUGCUAAUCUGCGAUAAGCGUCGGUAAGGUGAUAUGAACCGUUAUAACCGGCGAUUUCCGAAUGGGGAAACCCAGUGUGUUUCGACACACUAUCAUUAACUGAAUCCAUAGGUUAAUGAGGCGAACCGGGGGAACUGAAACAUCUAAGUACCCCGAGGAAAAGAAAUCAACCGAGAUUCCCCCAGUAGCGGCGAGCGAACGGGGAGCAGCCCAGAGCCUGAAUCAGUGUGUGUGUUAGUGGAAGCGUCUGGAAAGGCGCGCGAUACAGGGUGACAGCCCCGUACACAAAAAUGCACAUGCUGUGAGCUCGAUGAGUAGGGCGGGACACGUGGUAUCCUGUCUGAAUAUGGGGGGACCAUCCUCCAAGGCUAAAUACUCCUGACUGACCGAUAGUGAACCAGUACCGUGAGGGAAAGGCGAAAAGAACCCCGGCGAGGGGAGUGAAAAAGAACCUGAAACCGUGUACGUACAAGCAGUGGGAGCACGCUUCGGCGUGUGACUGCGUACCUUUUGUAUAAUGGGUCAGCGACUUAUAUUCUGUAGCAAGGUUAACCGAAUAGGGGAGCCGAAGGGAAACCGAGUCUUAACUGGGCGUUAAGUUGCAGGGUAUAGACCCGAAACCCGGUGAUCUAGCCAUGGGCAGGUUGAAGGUUGGGUAACACUAACUGGAGGACCGAACCGACUAAUGUUGAAAAAUUAGCGGAUGACUUGUGGCUGGGGGUGAAAGGCCAAUCAAACCGGGAGAUAGCUGGUUCUCCCCGAAAGCUAUUUAGGUAGCGCCUCGUGAAUUCAUCUCCGGGGGUAGAGCACUGUUUCGGCAAGGGGGUCAUCCCGACUUACCAACCCGAUGCAAACUGCGAAUACCGGAGAAUGUUAUCACGGGAGACACACGGCGGGUGCUAACGUCCGUCGUGAAGAGGGAAACAACCCAGACCGCCAGCUAAGGUCCCAAAGUCAUGGUUAAGUGGGAAACGAUGUGGGAAGGCCCAGACAGCCAGGAUGUUGGCUUAGAAGCAGCCAUCAUUUAAAGAAAGCGUAAUAGCUCACUGGUCGAGUCGGCCUGCGCGGAAGAUGUAACGGGGCUAAACCAUGCACCGAAGCUGCGGCAGCGACGCUUAUGCGUUGUUGGGUAGGGGAGCGUUCUGUAAGCCUGUGAAGGUGUGCUGUGAGGCAUGCUGGAGGUAUCAGAAGUGCGAAUGCUGACAUAAGUAACGAUAAAGCGGGUGAAAAGCCCGCUCGCCGGAAGACCAAGGGUUCCUGUCCAACGUUAAUCGGGGCAGGGUGAGUCGACCCCUAAGGCGAGGCCGAAAGGCGUAGUCGAUGGGAAACAGGUUAAUAUUCCUGUACUUGGUGUUACUGCGAAGGGGGGACGGAGAAGGCUAUGUUGGCCGGGCGACGGUUGUCCCGGUUUAAGCGUGUAGGCUGGUUUUCCAGGCAAAUCCGGAAAAUCAAGGCUGAGGCGUGAUGACGAGGCACUACGGUGCUGAAGCAACAAAUGCCCUGCUUCCAGGAAAAGCCUCUAAGCAUCAGGUAACAUCAAAUCGUACCCCAAACCGACACAGGUGGUCAGGUAGAGAAUACCAAGGCGCUUGAGAGAACUCGGGUGAAGGAACUAGGCAAAAUGGUGCCGUAACUUCGGGAGAAGGCACGCUGAUAUGUAGGUGAAGUCCCUUGCGGAUGGAGCUGAAAUCAGUCGAAGAUACCAGCUGGCUGCAACUGUUUAUUAAAAACACAGCACUGUGCAAACACGAAAGUGGACGUAUACGGUGUGACGCCUGCCCGGUGCCGGAAGGUUAAUUGAUGGGGUUAGCCGCAAGGCGAAGCUCUUGAUCGAAGCCCCGGUAAACGGCGGCCGUAACUAUAACGGUCCUAAGGUAGCGAAAUUCCUUGUCGGGUAAGUUCCGACCUGCACGAAUGGCGUAAUGAUGGCCAGGCUGUCUCCACCCGAGACUCAGUGAAAUUGAACUCGCUGUGAAGAUGCAGUGUACCCGCGGCAAGACGGAAAGACCCCGUGAACCUUUACUAUAGCUUGACACUGAACAUUGAGCCUUGAUGUGUAGGAUAGGUGGGAGGCUUUGAAGUGUGGACGCCAGUCUGCAUGGAGCCGACCUUGAAAUACCACCCUUUAAUGUUUGAUGUUCUAACGUUGACCCGUAAUCCGGGUUGCGGACAGUGUCUGGUGGGUAGUUUGACUGGGGCGGUCUCCUCCUAAAGAGUAACGGAGGAGCACGAAGGUUGGCUAAUCCUGGUCGGACAUCAGGAGGUUAGUGCAAUGGCAUAAGCCAGCUUGACUGCGAGCGUGACGGCGCGAGCAGGUGCGAAAGCAGGUCAUAGUGAUCCGGUGGUUCUGAAUGGAAGGGCCAUCGCUCAACGGAUAAAAGGUACUCCGGGGAUAACAGGCUGAUACCGCCCAAGAGUUCAUAUCGACGGCGGUGUUUGGCACCUCGAUGUCGGCUCAUCACAUCCUGGGGCUGAAGUAGGUCCCAAGGGUAUGGCUGUUCGCCAUUUAAAGUGGUACGCGAGCUGGGUUUAGAACGUCGUGAGACAGUUCGGUCCCUAUCUGCCGUGGGCGCUGGAGAACUGAGGGGGGCUGCUCCUAGUACGAGAGGACCGGAGUGGACGCAUCACUGGUGUUCGGGUUGUCAUGCCAAUGGCACUGCCCGGUAGCUAAAUGCGGAAGAGAUAAGUGCUGAAAGCAUCUAAGCACGAAACUUGCCCCGAGAUGAGUUCUCCCUGACCCUUUAAGGGUCCUGAAGGAACGUUGAAGACGACGACGUUGAUAGGCCGGGUGUGUAAGCGCAGCGAUGCGUUGAGCUAACCGGUACUAAUGAACCGUGAGGCUUAACCUU
RNAcentral lists this ribosomal RNA (2906 nucleotides) under Escherichia coli. RNAcentral describes it as "23S ribosomal RNA". It matches the Rfam family "Bacterial large subunit ribosomal RNA". Lineage: Bacteria; Pseudomonadati; Pseudomonadota; Gammaproteobacteria; Enterobacterales; Enterobacteriaceae. The record is from RNAcentral.